Molecule: long non-coding RNA, 463 nt
Organism: Pseudophryne corroboree (corroboree frog)
Lineage: Eukaryota; Metazoa; Chordata; Amphibia; Anura; Myobatrachidae
Exons: 3
Source: RefSeq, a predicted model, not a curated record
CUGAAUAUGCACUGGUAACUGAAGAAUUAUAACUGAAGUAACAGUGUCGCAGGUGAACACAGCCAGGUUGCCACAGCAACAGCCCUGGUGCCCGCAGGAUGGCCCGUGUGACUUCACUUCCGGACACCUGAUCAGGAACUGGACCGAAAGUAGCGGCAACGGGAGGGCAUCCCUGAACCUGGGGCUGUACUGUGCAUCAGUGGGAUGGACCCCUCUGAGCAUGCAAUGCCCAUAAAUUGCUGGAAUUCAGACUUCCCUGGCCAGGUGGAAAGCAUUACUUGUGGUCACCAUAGUAACCAGUGCUACAGGAACCAGAAGUGCGGCAGGAGUAGCAGUCAAUGAUUUUUGAGGUGGUGUGGGUGUUUAAUGAAGUCCUUUGCUAUGUACACUUGCUAGUCCAUUGUCCUGAGGAUGGAGCUGUGUACCUGAAAAACAUUUGACAUUCACCAUGUCCUGUGAAUAA